RNAcentral lists this ribosomal RNA (468 nucleotides) under uncultured bacterium. RNAcentral's name for it is "partial 16S ribosomal RNA". It matches the Rfam family "Bacterial small subunit ribosomal RNA", at positions 28 to 507 of the family's 1533-position model. The record is from RNAcentral.
GACGAACGCUGGCGGCGUGCUUAACACAUGCAAGUCGAACGGAAAGGCCCUGCUUUUGUGGGGUGCUCGAGUUGCGAACGGGUGAGUAACCCGUGAGUAACCUGCCCUUGACUUUGGGAUAACUUCAGGACACUGGGGCUAAUACCGGAUAGGAGCUCUUGCCGCAUGGUGGGGGUUGGAAAGUUUCGGCGGUUGGUGAUGGACUCGCGGCCUAUCAGCUUGUUGGUGGGGUAGUGGCUUACCAAGGCUUUGACCGGUAGCCGGCCUGAGAGGGUGACCGGCCACAUUGGGACGGAGAUGCGGCCCAGACUCCUACGGGAGGCAGCAGAGGGGAAUAGUGCACAAUGGGCGGAAGCCUGAUGCAGCAACGCCGCGUGCGGGAUGACGGCCUUCGGGUUGUAAACCGCUUUCGCCUGUGACGAAGCGUGAGUGACGGUAAUGGGUAAAGAAGCACCGGCUAACUACGUG